GAGACCGCGGCGGCGCAGAGGGCCGGGGAGUGCGGCCGUCGGGGCGUGGAGGGUGCUGGGAGCGCACUGGGGACCCGAGGAGUGCGGGGCGGGGUGGCGGAGCUAGAGCAGCUACAGCAGGUGUGUGUGUUUGGUGGGGGGCAGUUUGCCAGCCCCCAAGGGGCUGUUCAGGGAACCUGGGUGUAUGUCUGAUGUUUUCCCGUCUUGUCUGGCUGUCUUUCUCUCUCUCUCUCUGCAGAGCUGGAAUGGAACCCUUGGCCUCAUGCGUGCAAGGCAAGCGCUCUACUACUGAGCCCCAACUUGAGUGGGAUCUUGCAGGGAGGUUUGGAUCCCCUGCACUCGGGUCUGGUGCAGGCUACUGAAGGCUGUUGAGCCUCUCCCCGCCCCACCCGCAUAGGCAGCCUCGCCUCACCUGGUUCUCCCAGCCUCAGCAGCCGCAGCCGCAGCUGAAGCUGGAGGGAGAGGUUUAAUUGGCAGGCUUUUGGGUUAAGGAGAAAUACUGCUUUGCUGGGGUGGGGACUAGUGGAUGGAGGGGGAAGGGGGUUGGAAAAAUACUGAGAGAACCGGCAAAUACAGCCAGGCAACAACAGGAUAUGGAGGCCGCAGAGACACAGGAGGAAGGGAGAGGGGCCUUGCCAGGCUGGCUUGUGCCACUGCCUAGCAGAGGCCCUCAUCCCCCCCUCCAUGCUGGGGACCACCCAGCCUCCCUGCAUCUGCACAGGGCUUAUCUGGGACAUUUAUUCAUUUAAUUUUAUUACUGUACUGUGGGUACAGUGCCUGCCAACUCUAACGCCUUGUCAGUGUUACCCCGAAAGUCCCCUCUCUAGGCUGGGAGUUACAGCAUAAUGAAACCCAGAGAACUCUGCCCUGUCCCUCACUUAGUAAUGACUGAUCUGAAGGCCUCUGAACAAGGGUCUCCUGGGACCACCAUGCCUCAGCUGGGCCAAGCACAGACAACCCUGGUGAGAUGUCGAAUGGAAACCUUGCUACAGGACUUCAUAGGGGUGGGUGGGAGCCACCUACCUGACCCAUUAAACGGCCAAGAAGAUUGAAAAUCAGAGAGGGAGGGUGAGAAUGCUGGGUCACCCAGCAGAUGAGUAAUGGAACCUGAGAUUCUGGCUGUGUGAAGAGUCAAGGGGAUAAAAGGUGGAAAUGUGCUUGGUAAACUGAAAGAAGUGCCCACAGAAGCAAAAACUAACAGGCAUUAUUCAAAUAUAAAUAAAAAAUAAACAACAUCAUUAUGUAAAUAAAACAUAACCUCAGUCAAAGAAAUCAUACAACUCUAUAUCUCCUGUUGUUCUCCAAAUGUGCUCCAUUAAGAUCCUAAAGUCACCACUUGGAGGAAAAAAUGCGCCAAUUUCUGGACUAAAUGAACUCCCCUCAGUCCAUUCCUAUUGUACAGUGGCUUCAUCCCUGGGUUUCUUCUUAAUAGCACUUAGGAAAAAUGCACUCAAGUACAUAUUUGUUCUUAUCUUUUAUUACUAAAUGAGUAUUACUUUAUGUCAUAGUAAGAAUAAUCAUUAAAAUACUUGGCAUAAUAAAUACCUGAAAGACAUUUUAUUUUAUGAAUGUAUUUUUCUUUCUUGCCAUAAUGGGGACAUUAUGAAUCAUACAUUUGUAUUAAUGACAUUUCUUAAAACAAAGCAAUGUAUGUAUGCAACUGUAAACUAAACAAAUCUACAAACUAUUGUAGGCAUCUGGAAAUUCUGUUGUAGGUUCUUUGUUGGAGUGUUUUAAUCAGUAGAUUCUGUUGUGAAUGCAUUUGUACAUUGUUAGGAUACUUUUAAAGAUGUUUAGUUGGAUAAAUGUCUUUGUUGGAGUGAUAGCUUGGAAGUUGCACAACUUUUUAUUUGUACAAAACUCUAUUGUUUAAAAAAAAAAAUCA
Ictidomys tridecemlineatus (thirteen-lined ground squirrel) is the source of this 1885-nucleotide long non-coding RNA. The record is from Ensembl. NCBI's taxonomy places the organism in Eukaryota, Metazoa, Chordata, Mammalia, Rodentia, Sciuridae.